Nocardia cyriacigeorgica is the source of this 68-nucleotide small RNA. It matches the Rfam family "ASdes TB sRNA". Lineage: Bacteria; Bacillati; Actinomycetota; Actinomycetes; Mycobacteriales; Nocardiaceae. The record is from Rfam.
AGCGCGACCGGGUCGACGGCCCUGGUCACCACCAGGUAGUCGCGCAUGACGAUGGAGUGCCGGUUCUC